UACGUAGGGGGCAAGCGUUGUCCGGAUUUAUUGGGCGUAAAGAGCGUGUAGGCGGUUUGGUAGGUCCGUUGUGAAAACUCGAGGCUCAACCUCGAGACGCCGAUGGAAACCAUCAGACUAGAGUCCGGAAGAGGAGAGUGGAAUUCCUGGUGUAGCGGUGAAAUGCGCAGAUAUCAGGAAGAACACCCGUGGCUAAGGCGGCUCUCUAGUACGGUACUGACGCUGAGACACGAAAGCGUGGGUAGCAAACAGG
Molecule: ribosomal RNA, 253 nt
Filed under: uncultured bacterium
Lineage: Bacteria
Description: partial 16S ribosomal RNA
Rfam family: Bacterial small subunit ribosomal RNA
Source: RNAcentral